This 571-nucleotide ribosomal RNA is filed under the name uncultured bacterium. RNAcentral describes it as "partial 16S ribosomal RNA". It matches the Rfam family "Bacterial small subunit ribosomal RNA", at positions 355 to 919 of the family's 1533-position model. The record is from RNAcentral.
UGGGGAAUUUUGGACAAUGGGCGAAAGCCUGAUCCAGCAAUGCCGCGUGUGUGAAGAAGGCCUUCGGGUUGUAAAGCACUUUUGUCCGGAAAGAAAUCCUUGGCUCUAAUACAGUCGGGGGAUGACGGUACCGGAAGAAUAAGCACCGGCUAACUACGUGCCAGCAGCCGCGGUAAUACGUAGGGUGCAAGCGUUAAUCGGAAUUACUGGGCGUAAAGCGUGCGCAGGCGGUUUGCUAAGACCGAUGUGAAAUCCCCGGGCUUAACCUGGGAACUGCAUUCGUGACUGCAAGGCUAGAGUAUGGCAGAGGGGGGUAGAAUUCCACGUGUAGCAGUGAAAUGCGUAGAGAUGUGGAGGAAUACCGAUGGCGAAGGCAGCCCCCUGGGCCAAUACUGACGCUCAUGCACGAAAGCGUGGGGAGCAAACAGGAUUAGAUACCCUGGUAGUCCACGCCCUAAACGAUGUCAACUAGUUGUUGGGGAUUCAUUUCCUUAGUAACGUAGCUAACGCGUGAAGUUGACCGCCUGGGGAGUACAGUCGCAAGAUUAAAACUUAAAUGAAUUGACGGGGU